Molecule: long non-coding RNA, 1139 nt
Filed under: Sus scrofa (pig)
Lineage: Eukaryota; Metazoa; Chordata; Mammalia; Artiodactyla; Suidae
Description: lncRNA (ENSSSCG00050001113.1)
Source: RNAcentral
ACUCACAGCUGCUCCCUGAGGAGCUUGGGUACCUCACGGUGGGCCGGCUCCACCAGGCAAGGCCACCACUGAUGCACCAGGAGCAGGCUCGGGGGCGGGGUUCCCCCAGGUGAGGGGCCGGCCAAGGCUCAGGAUGGAGCCUCUCGCCUGGUCCCAGGGCCCUGCCUGCUUGUCUUGACUCCUCGCUGUGCCCAGGGCUCUGCUCCUGGGGAUGGGUCCAGACCUCACCCCUAGGGUCGCCCCAGGUCCUCCCAGCCCCUCCCCCAGGCCCCCAGGGCACUAGCCUUUGUGACACUAGCCUGUGUCACAACUCUGGCUUGUGGUCGCUCUUACAGACACACCCUUAGCUGGGAUGAGUGGGCCUCCUGGACCUUGGUUUGGGGAGGGAAAUGGGCUGUGGCCCACGUUAACCUAAAUAGCACAUUGCUCUUAAAAUUCCAGAGUUAUAUUUGAAGCCAGGCCAAGUCCUCCCAGCCUGUGGUGGCUCUGGGCUCUGGGCUCAUCUGAGAACAGCCGGGUGGAGCCUGCGGUGUCCUGAAGGGUGAGCAGGAGGCCAGGGACCCCGCUCACCGAGGCCUCUGCACGGGGAGCCCUCAGGGGCACGUCCAGUCCCCCCAGAUCUGGGAGCCCUCAGGUGGCCUCACUGAGGGACUAGGAAUGCUCUGCUGCCACAGGGCUGUGUGCAGAGGGUGCGCGUCUGCCUGGCAGGGUGAGCUGGGCAGAAGGAGCGUGGGAACGAGGCCUCAGCGGGCAGUCAGUGUUGUGCCCUCCAGCUGGUGAGUGUGUCACACGGUGGCCCGGGGUGGCGCCGAGAUAACCAGAGUGCGUGGCCUCAGCCCGUCCCUGUUGGCCUGGCCCUGCAGUGGGGUGGGGGCUGUGCAGCCUGGGGGUGUGGCUCAGACGCUGACUCGGGAGCCCGGGGAAGCAGCUGGCAGGGAGGUCUGGACAGCUCUCCCAUGGUGUCCCUGUGGCUGCCCUGUGGAGAGGAGCCCGAGGGGCAGCCAAGAGGAGGUGACGGGGCAGGGCCGUGGGUGGGGUGCCUCGGGAAGCAUCCCAAGGUCCAGGAUGGAGGUGUGGGGGAGGGAGUGGAGAGUGACAGCCCAAGGUCCAGGAUGGAGGUGUGGGAGAGGGGGUGGAGA